UACGGAGGGGGCUAGCGUUGUUCGGAAUUACUGGGCGUAAAGCGCACGUAGGCGGCCUUGUAAGUUAGAGGUGAAAGCCCGGAGCUCAACUCCGGAAUUGCCUUUAAGACUGCAUCGCUUGAAUCCAGGAGAGGUGAGUGGAAUUCCGAGUGUAGGGGUGAAAUUCGUAGAUAUUCGGAAGAACACCAGUGGCGAAGGCGGCUCACUGGACUGGUAUUGACGCUGAGGUGCGAAAGCGUGGGGAGCAAACAGG
This 253-nucleotide ribosomal RNA is filed under the name uncultured bacterium. Its description in RNAcentral is "partial 16S ribosomal RNA". It matches the Rfam family "Bacterial small subunit ribosomal RNA", at positions 524 to 776 of the family's 1533-position model. The record is from RNAcentral.